GACAGAGGGUGCAAACGUUGUUCGGAAUCACUGGGCGUAAAGCGCGUGUAGGCGGCAGUGCAAGUCGGAUGUGAAAUCCCGCGGCUCAACCGUGGAAGUGCACCCGAAACUGCACAGCUUGAGUGUCGGAGAGGAAGGUGGAAUGCUUGGUGUAGAGGUGAAAUUCGUAGAUAUCAAGCGGAACACCGGUGGCGAAGGCGGCCUUCUGGACGACGACUGACGCUGAGACGCGAAAGCGUGGGUAGCAAACAGG
This 253-nucleotide ribosomal RNA is filed under the name uncultured prokaryote. RNAcentral describes it as "partial 16S ribosomal RNA". It matches the Rfam family "Bacterial small subunit ribosomal RNA", at positions 524 to 776 of the family's 1533-position model. The record is from RNAcentral.